UGCCAGCCGCCGCGGUAACACGGGGGGCGCAAGCGUUAUUCGGAAUUAUUGGGCGUAAAGGGCGCGCAGGCGGUUCGUUAAGUCUGAUGUGAAAGCCCGGGGCUCAACCCCGGAAGUGCAUUGGAAACUGGCGAACUUGAGUACGGGAGAGGAAAGUGGAAUUCCGAGUGUAGGGGUGAAAUCCGUAGAUAUUCGGAGGAACACCAGUGGCGAAGGCGGCUUUCUGGACCGAUACUGACGCUGAGGCGCGAAGGCGUGGGUAGCGAACGGGAUUAGAUA
Molecule: ribosomal RNA, 279 nt
Filed under: uncultured bacterium
Lineage: Bacteria
Description: partial 16S ribosomal RNA
Rfam family: Bacterial small subunit ribosomal RNA
Source: RNAcentral